CCUACGUGAGGCAGCAGUGAGGAAUAUUGGUCAAUGGGCGCGAGCCUGAACCAGCCAAGUAGCGUGAAGGAUGCCUGCCCUACGGGUUGUAAACUUCUUUUAUAAAGGAAUAAAGUGAGGCACGUGUGCCUUUUUGUAUGUACUUUAUGAAUAAGGAUCGGCUAACUCCGUGCCAGCAGCCGCGGUAAUACGGAGGAUCCGACCGUUAUCCGGAUUUAUUGGGUUUAAAGGGGGCGUUGAUGGGUUGUUAAGUCAGUUGUGAAAGUUUGCGGCUCAACCGUAAAAUUGCAAUUGAUACUGGCAGUCUUGAGUACAGUUGAGGUAGGCGGAAUUCGUGGUGUAGCGGUGAAAUGCUUAGAUAUCACGAAGAACUCCGAUUGCGAAGGCAGCUUACUAAACUGCCACUGACAUUGAUGCUCGAAAGUGUGGGUAUCAAACAGGAUUAGAUACCCCAGUAGUC
This 460-nucleotide ribosomal RNA is filed under the name uncultured bacterium. Its description in RNAcentral is "partial 16S ribosomal RNA". It matches the Rfam family "Bacterial small subunit ribosomal RNA", at positions 338 to 795 of the family's 1533-position model. The record is from RNAcentral.